This is a long non-coding RNA of Lolium rigidum, 182 nucleotides long. RefSeq lists it as uncharacterized. Lineage: Eukaryota; Viridiplantae; Streptophyta; Magnoliopsida; Poales; Poaceae. The record is from RefSeq and is a predicted model, not a curated record. The transcript is spliced from 2 exons.
AGUUUACUGAAUUUUGGAAAGAUUCAGACAGGGACAUUGAUUCUGAAUUUCAGUUGGAGAAGUUUUGUUUCCAGAACAAGAAUGUAGUAUGUUCACGGUUGAAGUAUUGCACAAUGGAUUUUUUUUUGUGGAUUGAGACACAAUUUGGAAUAUAUGUGUGCAUCAACAGCCCAUUUUGACAA